AGGAGCAACAGCCCUAGUGGCGGGGCCAGCUCUGCAGCCCUGGAGUCAGCCCCCGCAGUGGCUCCGGAGCUCUCCGUCUGCAGGGCCUGGAGGCUCCGGGGCGGG
This 105-nucleotide microRNA precursor is filed under the name Canis lupus familiaris (dog). RNAcentral describes it as "mir-8834 microRNA precursor family". It matches the Rfam family "mir-8834 microRNA precursor family". The record is from Rfam by way of RNAcentral. Lineage: Eukaryota; Metazoa; Chordata; Mammalia; Carnivora; Canidae.